RNAcentral lists this ribosomal RNA (253 nucleotides) under uncultured bacterium. RNAcentral describes it as "partial 16S ribosomal RNA". It matches the Rfam family "Bacterial small subunit ribosomal RNA", at positions 524 to 776 of the family's 1533-position model. The record is from RNAcentral.
UACAGAGGGUGCAAGCGUUGUUCGGAAUUAUUGGGCGUAAAGAGCUCGUAGGCGGUUCGUCACGUCGGCUGUGAAAACCUGAGGCUCAACCUCAGGCCUGCAGUCGAUACGGGCGGACUUGAGUACUGCAGGGGAGACUGGAAUUCCUGGUGUAGCGGUGAAAUGCGCAGAUAUCAGGAGGAACACCGGUGGCGAAGGCGGGUCUCUGGGCAGUAACUGACGCUGAGGAGCGAAAGCGUGGGGAGCGAACAGG